RNAcentral lists this ribosomal RNA (443 nucleotides) under uncultured bacterium. Its description in RNAcentral is "partial 16S ribosomal RNA". It matches the Rfam family "Bacterial small subunit ribosomal RNA", at positions 338 to 795 of the family's 1533-position model. The record is from RNAcentral.
CCUACGGGGGGCAGCAGUGGGGAAUAUUGGGCAAUGGGCGCAAGCCUGACCCAGCAACGCCGCGUGAAGGAAGAAGGCUUUCGGGUUGUAAACUUCUUUUCUCAGGGACGAAGCAAGUGACGGUACCGGAGGAAUAAGCCACGGCUAACUACGGGCCAGCAGCCGCGGUAAUACGUGGGUGGCAAGCGUUAUCCGGAUUUACUGGGUGUAAAGGGCGUGUAGGCGGGAACGCAAGUCAGAUGUGAAAACCAGGGGCUCAACCUGUGGCCUGCAUUGGAAACUGUUUUUCUUGAGUACUGGAGAGGCAGCCGUAAUUCCUCGUGUAGCGGUGAACUGCGUAGAUAUUAGGAGGAACACCAGUGGCGAAGGCGGUCUGCUGGACAGCAACUGACGCUGAGGCGCGAAAGCGUGGGGAGCAAACAGGUUUAGAUACCCUUGUAGUC